AUAAAUCACUAAACAAGCAUAGAAAUCUAUUUCAACAAAUAUCCAAUUUCACCAAAUUAAUUAAGUAAAAAGAGCACUAAGAAAUAUAGAUAAAAAUACUAAAGAAUCCCUUACCGUAACCAUGUCGAUUUACUCUUUUGGAAGGGGAGAAAAGAACUUCUAACAUUCCUUGGUCAAGCUCCUUAAACUCCUACUUUUUUCCUUAUGUCUUGCUUCUUUCUCUCUCUAGAAAGUGAAAAUGG
RNAcentral lists this long non-coding RNA (242 nucleotides) under Carica papaya (papaya). RNAcentral's name for it is "long non-coding RNA (CPAP_LNC013122)". Lineage: Eukaryota; Viridiplantae; Streptophyta; Magnoliopsida; Brassicales; Caricaceae. The record is from RNAcentral.